UGAGGAAUAUUGGACAAUGGGCGCAAGCCUGAUCCAGCCAUGCCGCGUGCAGGAAGAAGCAUCUAUGGUGUGUAAACUGCUUUUGUACGGGAAGAAACACUCCUACGUGUAGGAGCUUGACGGUACCGUAAGAAUAAGGAUCGGCUAACUCCGUGCCAGCAGCCGCGGUAAUACGGAGGAUCCAAGCGUUAUCCGGAAUCAUUGGGUUUAAAGGGUCCGUAGGCGGUUUAAUAAGUCAGUGGUGAAAGCCCAUCGCUCAACGAUGGAACGGCCAUUGAUACUGCUAGACUUGAAUUACAAGGAAGUAACUAGAAUAUGUAGUGUAGCGGUGAAAUGCUUAGAUAUUACAUGGAAUACCAAUUGCGAAGGCAGGUUACUACUUGUGGAUUGACGCUGAUGGACGAAAGCGUGGGGGGCGAACA
Molecule: ribosomal RNA, 422 nt
Filed under: uncultured bacterium
Lineage: Bacteria
Description: bacterial SSU rRNA
Rfam family: Bacterial small subunit ribosomal RNA
Source: RNAcentral